AUGUCAUACACUUCUAAAUUUUACAGAAAUUUCACGAAGAGAGAGAGAGAGAGCAGCAGGAGGAGGUUGGAGUUCAGAGCAGCAGCAACGUGGAGGGUUGAGGGAGAAGAGGGAGCAGCAGCGGUAGGGGAGAGGAGGCAGCAGCAGCAGGUUGAGGAGAAGAAGGAAGGCAGCAGGGGCGUGGGGAUCAGCAGGGAGGCGCAAGGAGAAGGAGCAAAAGGGAAUACGAGCAGCAGCAAGGGGAUUCAGAGACGAGGGAAGGAGGAGCAGCAGCAGUGGCAUGAGAGGAGCAGCAGAGAGAGUUGA
Molecule: ribosomal RNA, 306 nt
Filed under: Triticum aestivum (bread wheat)
Lineage: Eukaryota; Viridiplantae; Streptophyta; Magnoliopsida; Poales; Poaceae
Description: partial small subunit ribosomal RNA
Source: RNAcentral